GGGAUAGUGGGUGAGCGGGAAAACCAUCCAAACCUAUUUGGGGUCGCCGGAGUGUUCUUGGCGCGAGGGUUCGAAUCCUUCCUGUCCCA
This 89-nucleotide transfer RNA is filed under the name Caudoviricetes sp. Its description in RNAcentral is "tRNA-Arg". It matches the Rfam family "tRNA". From Rfam's summary of the family: Transfer RNA (tRNA) molecules are approximately 80 nucleotides in length. Lineage: Duplodnaviria; Heunggongvirae; Uroviricota; Caudoviricetes. The record is from RNAcentral.